UACUCGAGUGGCGAACGGGUGAGUAACACGUGGGUGAUCUGCCCUGCACUCUGGGAUAAGCCUGGGAAACUGGGUCUAAUACCGGAUAGGACCAUGCUUUAGUGUGUGUGGUGGAAAGUUUUUUCGGUGUAGGAUGAGCCCGCGGCCUAUCAGCUUGUUGGUGGGGUAAUGGCCUACCAAGGCGGCGACGGGUAGCCGGACUGAGAGGUUGGUCGGCCACACUGGAACUGAGACACGGUCCAG
RNAcentral lists this ribosomal RNA (243 nucleotides) under uncultured Actinomycetales bacterium. Its description in RNAcentral is "partial 16S ribosomal RNA". It matches the Rfam family "Bacterial small subunit ribosomal RNA", at positions 88 to 334 of the family's 1533-position model. Lineage: Bacteria; Bacillati; Actinomycetota; Actinomycetes; Actinomycetales. The record is from RNAcentral.